UUUAAGGGGAUAAGAGAGCUUACUUGGGAUCUUCCUGGGUGCUUGAUAGGUACUGAUGUCAUGCCUGAUCUGAAGAGAAAAGAGCUGUUGGACAUUAAUGUCGGUUUGCUCCAAAUAAGGCAGGUUUGAGUAAAUGAGGAUCCUCCUGAUCCAAUGGUUGCUGGUGCAUGGUAUGAACUUGUAGAACUCUUCUGGAUCUCUGGAUAGACUUCCUGAAUGUAUAGAUUGAUCUCCUGGUCGCCAAUUUCUGGUUUGAAGCUGAUUGAACCGGCUAGCUUCCAAUUGAGGCAAGUGCAGAACUGGUUUGGCCGGUUUUGGAGAUUGGAUCAUAACUUCAUAAUUCCAUGUUCAUUUCUCCAGAUCUUGGGCUUUCUGGAAAUAUGAUAAACUUCUCUUGACUCCUAUGAUGGGCUUUGCUUGAGGCCGAUUCUUCAUUGGGCUUGAAUCUUCUUCUAAAGUCGGGUACUCACAGAUGGAUGGGCUGAGAAAUCUCUGACUUGUAAAAUUCAUAACUUCUUGCUCCGUGAAUACUUUGGCCUGAUUACAAUUGGCCUGGACUCCUUAUUGAAUGUAGAAUCCA
Molecule: long non-coding RNA, 580 nt
Filed under: Brassica napus (rape)
Lineage: Eukaryota; Viridiplantae; Streptophyta; Magnoliopsida; Brassicales; Brassicaceae
Description: long non-coding RNA (BNAP_LNC021508)
Source: RNAcentral